AUUGAACGCUGGCGGAAUGCUUUACACAUGCAAGUCGAACGGCAGCACGGACUUCGGUCUGGUGGCGAGUGGCGAACGGGUGAGUAAUGUAUCGGAACGUGCCCAGUCGUGGGGGAUAACGUAGUGAAAAUUACGCUAAUACCGCAUACGAUCUAUGGAUGAAAGCGGGGGAUCGCAAGACCUCGCGCGAUUGGAGCGGCCGAUAUCAGAUUAGGUAGUUGGUGGGGUAAAGGCCCACCAAGCCAACGAUCUGUAGCUGGUCUGAGAGGACGACCAGGCACACUGGAACUGAGACACGGUCCCGACUCCUACGGGAGGCAGCAGUGGGGAAUUUUGGACAAUGUGCGAAAGCCUGAUCCAGCCAUUCCGCAUGCAGGAUGAAGGCCCUCGGGUUGUAAACUGCUUUUGUACAGAACGAAAAGGUUUCUACUAAUACUAGGAGCUCAUGACGGUACUGUAAGAAUAAGCACCGGCUAACUACGUGCCAGCAGCCGCGGUAA
RNAcentral lists this ribosomal RNA (500 nucleotides) under uncultured bacterium. RNAcentral's name for it is "partial 16S ribosomal RNA". It matches the Rfam family "Bacterial small subunit ribosomal RNA", at positions 30 to 523 of the family's 1533-position model. The record is from RNAcentral.